Mustela lutreola (European mink) is the source of this 554-nucleotide long non-coding RNA. RefSeq lists it as uncharacterized. The record is from RefSeq and is a predicted model, not a curated record. The transcript has 3 exons. Lineage: Eukaryota; Metazoa; Chordata; Mammalia; Carnivora; Mustelidae.
UGUGCCAAUCCGGAUAGGUGCCGAGAUGCCGACGAGAAAUGUGAUUCCUACCUUCCGGCGUGCUCACCUCCCCAAAUCUAGCUGUGGCGAUUCAUGGAUGUCUCACUGGCAGCUGGUGGAUCGUUCCCCAAACUUCUCAGUGGUAUCCUGGUGAACCCUUCGAAGGAAACGCGCUCUCUUAUGCACUCAUCUUGUUUUGAGAAUGGAUGGACGAAACCGUCAAUGCGAGAAAGUCUUCUGCGUUUAUGGCCACCAUUUGGAGAUACUGUUCAUUAAGUUACUCGAGGACCCAGAGCCCGAUAUCUGACGACCCAGACAAAAUCCUCUCAAAGCUCAGAGCCAAGAACCGGUGGGUUUCUGCUUAUUCAUUUUCCCCCAUGAUGAACUUGAAUACAGUGAAAGAUACAGGCUGUGUCUGCUUCCCUGUUUCUUCCUUCCUGCAACUGCCCUUGGCCAAGGGCUCUUGCAGCCACCUCGGAUCUCUUUGAAGAAAGCAGGAUAUGAAUCAACAAAUUGAAAAGAAGCUAGAAAACACCAAGUGAGGAAGUUUGGGG